Molecule: ribosomal RNA, 460 nt
Filed under: uncultured bacterium
Lineage: Bacteria
Description: partial 16S ribosomal RNA
Rfam family: Bacterial small subunit ribosomal RNA
Source: RNAcentral
CCUACGGGAGGCAGCAGUGAGGAAUAUUGGUCAAUGGGCGGGAGCCUGAACCAGCCAAGUAGCGUGCAGGAUGACGGCCCUACGGGUUGUAAACUGCUUUUAUACGGGAAUAACGCGCCUUACGUGUAGGGCUUUGUAUGUACCUUAUGAAUAAGGAUCGGCUAAUUCCGUGCCAGCAGCCGCGGUAAUACGGAGGGUCCGGGCGUUAUCCGGAUUUAUUGGGUUUAAAGGGAGCGUAGGUGGCGUGUGAAGUGUGAUGUGAAAGUUUGGGGCUCAACCGGAGACUUGCAAUGGAUACUGGCAUGCUUGAGUACAGGGAAGGCAGGCGGAAUUCGUGGUGUAGCGGUGAAAUGCUUAGAUAUGACGAAGAACCCCGAUUGCGAAGGCAGCUUGCUACAGCGGAACUGACGCUGAUGCUCGAAAGUGUGGGUAUCGAACAGGAUUAGAUACCCGAGUAGUC